Mesocricetus auratus (golden hamster) is the source of this 105-nucleotide small nucleolar RNA. Its record names the gene SNORA70. It matches the Rfam family "Small nucleolar RNA SNORA70". From Rfam's summary of the family: snoRNA U70 seems to be exclusive to mammals and is a member of the H/ACA class of snoRNA which contain H (ANANNA) and ACA box motifs. H/ACA box snoRNAs are involved in the conversion of uridines to pseudouridines (5-ribosyluracil) a constituent of structural RNAs (transfer, ribosomal, small nuclear, and small nucleolar). NCBI's taxonomy places the organism in Eukaryota, Metazoa, Chordata, Mammalia, Rodentia, Cricetidae. The record is from Ensembl.
UUGCAGCUAAUUAAGCCGACCAGUUCCCUUUCCCCAUGGGAGCCUGGUGUGCAAUGGUUGCAAACAGCAGCCUCCUUGGUAGUGUAUGCAGCCUGUUGCCCANNN